UUACAUUCUAGUGGGAAAGACU
RNAcentral lists this microRNA (22 nucleotides) under Callithrix jacchus (white-tufted-ear marmoset). RNAcentral's name for it is "cja-miR-9976". The record is from miRBase by way of RNAcentral. Lineage: Eukaryota; Metazoa; Chordata; Mammalia; Primates; Cebidae.